Long non-coding RNA from Triticum dicoccoides, 637 nucleotides. RefSeq lists it as uncharacterized. The record is from RefSeq and is a predicted model, not a curated record. The transcript has 3 exons. NCBI's taxonomy places the organism in Eukaryota, Viridiplantae, Streptophyta, Magnoliopsida, Poales, Poaceae.
GUAUGCUCUUUCACAGUAGGUACAUAUGCAAAUUUAUCUUUUUGUUGGUUGUUUUUUGCUUCUUGCAGCAUCCCGGGUACAUAUGUGAGGCUAUGGGAGUCCUUUUUUCGUGUGAUGAUGAGAGGAAUAUGACAGGACAACCAAUUGUACCAUGUGAACACAAUUGCUGGGGGAUAAGCUGGUCAAUGCGCGAAAAUCUGUAAGAAAGUGACUAAAAUCAACAUUUGAAGGUACAACCUGUGUUAUGUUACUACAAAAAUUAAUGUUGUGGUCUGUUAUUGAGAAUCAUGAGUUUCCUGACAAUGAGACCCAUUAGUUAGAAUCUAUUGUACUAGGAUCUUUGCUUCGCAUCCCAUAUGUGCCAAGUUACGGGUAGAACUGUGCAUCGAAUUUAUUGUGCUGGGAUCUUUGCUUCGCAUCCCAUAUGUGCAAGUAUGCGAGUGAGACUGGCUUUGCUCUAACCAUGAUGAUUUUCUUUUCUUGGCAGAUGUUCAAAAUCAAAUAGGAUGGCUACCUGAAGUACGAUCCUCAGAAAUCGUAAGAAGCAGAAGUUAUUGGUACAUAAAUGAACAGAAGGUUUUGAGUACUAAAUAGAAGCGCUUGGAUCUGGGUCAGCCAGGAUCCGGUUGAUUCUGCC